UACGUAGGGUGCGAGCGUUAAUCGGAAUUACUGGGCGUAAAGGGUGCGCAGGCGGUCUUGUAAGUCAGAUGUGAAAUCCCCGGGCUUAACCUGGGAACUGCGUUUGAAACUACAAGACUAGAGUGUAGCAGAGGGGGGUGGAAUUCCACGUGUAGCAGUGAAAUGCGUAGAGAUGUGGAAGAACACCGAUGGCGAAGGCAGCCCCCUGGGUUAACACUGACGCUCAGGCACGAAAGCGUGGGGAGCAAACAGG
This 253-nucleotide ribosomal RNA is filed under the name uncultured bacterium. Its description in RNAcentral is "partial 16S ribosomal RNA". It matches the Rfam family "Bacterial small subunit ribosomal RNA", at positions 524 to 776 of the family's 1533-position model. The record is from RNAcentral.